This is a non-coding RNA of Acanthosepion pharaonis, 112 nucleotides long. The record is from the annotation of a GenBank genome assembly. NCBI's taxonomy places the organism in Eukaryota, Metazoa, Mollusca, Cephalopoda, Sepiida, Sepiidae.
UACAGCCAUAUCACUUUGAAACACUGGUUCUUGUAUGAACAUCAAAGUUAAGCAAUGUUAAGCCUGGUCAGUACCUAGGUUGUUGACUGAUUGGGAAUACCAGGUGCUGUAU